This 410-nucleotide long non-coding RNA is filed under the name Pan troglodytes (chimpanzee). Its description in RNAcentral is "lincRNA". Lineage: Eukaryota; Metazoa; Chordata; Mammalia; Primates; Hominidae. The record is from RNAcentral.
CAGUUAUUAAGUGGCAAAGACCGGAUUUGAAUCAAGAUAUCUGAUUUUUAAAAUUCACCUGUUUCAAAGCGUUCUACUUCACCUAAGAAGUUAAUACACCUCACAACCAGAUAAUUCCUUCUUUUCAAUUAGACUGUGUCUGUAUCUGGGAUCAGUUGCGAAGCAGAAGUAUGACGUGACUAAGGCCACCGCUGGGUUAGGAUACCCCCAUCCAAGAUUGAGAGCUGUACUAGCCUGGCAUGCAGACAGCAGCUUUAGAAUCAGAUCUGCCUUCUGGCGGCUUCCCACCUAGGAGCCAUGGGACCUUUGUGAAGUCACCAAUUGUGCUGUGGAUGCUUCAUUUGUGAAGGAGAACAGGACUGCCUUGUGAAAUUACGGAUGAUGCUACUAAAACAUAUCAAUAAUUUGAA